AGUGGCGAACGGGUGAGUAACACGUGACCAACCUGCCUCUUACAUUGGGACAACCAAAAGAAAUUCUGGCUAAUACCAAAUACUCCGCACACAUCACAUGAUGUAUGCGGGAAAGCUUUUGCGGUAAGAGAUGGGGUCGCGGCCCAUUAGGUAGACGGCGGGGUAGAAGCCCACCGUGCCGAUGAUGGGUAGCCGGGUUGAGAGACCGACCGGCCACAUUGGGACUGAGAUACGGCCCAGACUCCUACGGGAGGCAGCAGGC
Molecule: ribosomal RNA, 262 nt
Filed under: uncultured Cryptobacterium sp.
Lineage: Bacteria; Bacillati; Actinomycetota; Coriobacteriia; Eggerthellales; Eggerthellaceae
Description: partial 16S ribosomal RNA
Rfam family: Bacterial small subunit ribosomal RNA
Source: RNAcentral